AGAGUUUGAUCCUGGCUCAGGACGAACGCUGGCGGCACGCUUAACACAUGCAAGUCGAACGGAGAACAUUGAGCUUGCUUAAUGUUCUUAGUGGCGGACGGGUGAGUAACACGUGAGUAACCUGCCUCUAAGAGUGGGAUAGCUUCUGGAAACGGAUGGUAAUACCGCAUAACAUCAUGGAUUCGCAUGUUUCUAUGAUCAAAGAUUUAUCGCUUAGAGAUGGACUCGCGUCUGAUUAGCUAGUUGGUAAGGUAACGGCUUACCAAGGCGACGAUCAGUAGCCGGACUGAGAGGUUGAUCGGCCACAUUGGGACUGAGACACGGCCCAGACUCCUACGGGAGGCAGCAGUGGGGAAUAUUGCACAAUGGGGGAAACCCUGAUGCAGCGACGCCGCGUGAGCGAAGAAGUAUUUCGGUAUGUAAAGCUCUAUCAGCAGGGAAGAUAAUGACGGUACCUGACUAAGAAGCCCCGGCUAACUACGUGCCAGCAGCCGCGGUAAUACGUAGGGGGCAAGCGUUAUCCGGAUUUACUGGGUGUAAAGGGAGCGUAGACGGCAAGGCAAGUCUGAUGUGAAAACCCAGGGCUUAACCCUGGGACUGCAUUGGAAACUGUCUGGCUCGAGUGCCGGAGAGGCAAGCGGAAUUCCUAGUGUAGCGGUGAAAUGCGUAGAGAUCAGGAGGAACAUCGGUGGCGAAGGCGGCUUACUGGGCCUUUACUGACGCUGAGGCUCGAAAGCGUGGGGAGCAAACAGGAUUAGAUACCCUGGUAGUCCACACGGUAAACGAUGAAUACUCGCUGUUUGCGAUAUACAGCAAGCGGCCAAGCGAAAGCGUUAAGUAUUCCACCUGGGGAGUACGCCGGCAACGGUGAAACUCAAAGGAAUUGACGGGGGCCCGCACAAGCGAAGGAACAUGUGGUUUAAUUCGAUGAUACGCGAGGAACCUUACCCGGGCUCAAACGCAGGGGGAAUGUCGGUGAAAGCCGGCAGCUAGUAAUAGUCACCUGCGAGGUGCUGCAUGGUUGUCGUCAGCUCGUGCCGUGAGGUGUCGGCUUAAGUGCCAUAACGAGCGCAACCCCUAUCGACAGUUACUAACGGGUGAAGCCGAGGACUCUGUCGAGACUGCCGGCGCAAGCCGCGAGGAAGGUGGGGAUGACGUCAAAUCAGCACGGCCCUUACGUCCGGGGCGACACACGUGUUACAAUGGCAGGUACAGAAGGCAGCCAGUCAGCAAUGACGCGCGAAUCCCGAAAACCUGUCUCAGUUCGGAUUGGAGUCUGCAACCCGACUCCAUGAAGCUGGAUUCGCUAGUAAUCGCGCAUCAGCCAUGGCGCGGUGAAUACGUUCCCGGGCCUUGCACACACCGCCCGUCA
RNAcentral lists this ribosomal RNA (1372 nucleotides) under uncultured bacterium. RNAcentral's name for it is "partial 16S ribosomal RNA". It matches the Rfam family "Bacterial small subunit ribosomal RNA". The record is from RNAcentral.